Molecule: ribosomal RNA, 253 nt
Filed under: uncultured bacterium
Lineage: Bacteria
Description: partial 16S ribosomal RNA
Rfam family: Bacterial small subunit ribosomal RNA
Source: RNAcentral
UACGGAGGGUGCAAACGUUGCUCGGAAUCAUUGGGCGUAAAGCGCACGUAGGCGGUUCGGUAAGUCGGAUGUGAAAUCCCUCGGCUUAACCGAGGAAGUGCAUCCGAAACUGCCGAGCUUGAGUACGGAAGAGGGUCUCGGAAUUCCCGGUGUAGAGGUGAAAUUCGUAGAUAUUGGGAAGAACACCGGUGGCGAAGGCGGCGCUCUGGACCGAGACUGACGCUGAGGCGCGAAAGCGUGGGGAGCAAACAGG